This 1116-nucleotide long non-coding RNA is filed under the name Callithrix jacchus (white-tufted-ear marmoset). RNAcentral describes it as "lncRNA (ENSCJAG00000079117.1)". Lineage: Eukaryota; Metazoa; Chordata; Mammalia; Primates; Cebidae. The record is from RNAcentral.
CCUGCACUCAGCUGCAGAGAGGCUGAUCCUGGGGUCUGAAGUAAAACCCAGGAAUCUCUUCUAUUAGUCAGCACCCCAGGAUAAAAAUGCUUCCAGGGUCACACCUAGAAAAACUUAGUAGAAGCCAUGUGCCCACAGAGGCCAAUGCUCCAUCUGGCCACAUACUCCACAGUCUGCAAGGCCUCCAGUCUUCCCUCCCAGGCUCACACCCCAACUCACAAAGCUUCUGGAGUAUGAAGCCCUCACCAUUCCCCAGACUUCCCUAGAAAAUGGGUUAAACCAAUCCACAGGGAGUGAAGGGCAGAAGAGUAUCCCAGCACCAGGGUUCUGUUGCAGCUGCAGAAGCCUGCGUUUGUGGACAGAGCUCUUCCAAGGUUCCAGGAGGAGGAAAACAUCCAGUGACUCCCAGACUUUGGUGGGCUGGACACAUUUAUAUGUAAUAAUGUUCCUGGCUCCACGCUUCCAGAUGGACAGUCCCAAAGAGAAUGGAGACAACCAAUCAAACUGAGAAGAGAACAGCAAAGAUCAUUCUCCGUGUGGCAGAGAGAAACAGCGGACACGGGGAGAGACAACAAAGCUUUCAUAAGGGCCAAGCCAGCCCCACGGAACCCCAUGAAAAGAGGCCAAUGAACCAAGCAAUUCUGGCCUAUGGCCUGGAAAUCAGAGCUGCUUCAAGCAAGUUCUGUGGGGGUCUUUAAGGUGAGCCCCAGAGCCUGGGCUUCCCACCCUCUGGGUGGGAUGGAGACAAGACCAAAAAUAGAAAGCAGCAGAGGCCCAGACCAAGCCUGGCUUUUCUCACUGCCCCCUUCAAAAAGUUCUGGUCAGAUCAGAUGCUAUCAGAAAUGAUUGGCGCCUUUAUUCCCCCUCUUUGCUUCUAGCCCCCCACCCCCUUUCCAGUUUGACCACAUCUGUAGGCUCUGUUGAAACUGAGCCAACAUAAACAAAAACAAACUGAAACCCAGCAGCCAGCAAGGGCGGGAUGUGCCACCCAUCUGGGCAGGCCACGUGCAAGGCGGAGGACUGCCAAGGCACACCUCCUGCUGGUAAAAGGCGCCAUGUGGAGUCAUUAACCUCCAGGCCUUGGUGAGUGAAAAGCACCAUGUAACCAUGCUGGGU